This 152-nucleotide microRNA precursor is filed under the name Podarcis lilfordi (Lilford's wall lizard). The record is from RNAcentral. Lineage: Eukaryota; Metazoa; Chordata; Lepidosauria; Squamata; Lacertidae.
GCACAGAGAGGGAGAGAUGCGCAGAGAGGGAGAGCUGCACAGCGCCUCUUCAGUGAAGCAGGAGGAGGAACAGAAGGGUCUCCUUCUGUUCCUCCUCCGGCUUCGCUGAACGGGCGUUGCGCAGCUCUCCGUCUCUGCACAGCGCCAUCCGC